GCCCCAGUGGCCUAAUGGAUAAGGCACUGGCCUCCUAAGCCAGGGAUUGUGGGUUUGAGUCCCGUCUGGGGUGAUUCA
This 78-nucleotide transfer RNA is filed under the name Merluccius polli (Benguela hake). RNAcentral's name for it is "tRNA-Arg". It matches the Rfam family "tRNA". From Rfam's summary of the family: Transfer RNA (tRNA) molecules are approximately 80 nucleotides in length. Their secondary structure includes four short double-helical elements and three loops (D, anti-codon, and T loops). The record is from RNAcentral. Lineage: Eukaryota; Metazoa; Chordata; Actinopteri; Gadiformes; Merlucciidae.